CACGGUCAACAACUAAAUAAUCUCCCCUGAUAUCCUUCACUACACGUAUAUCAUCAUCAAGGUACACAGACUUAAACCAACCCUGUCCAAACGGAGGCAAAGGAAUUUCCCAACUUUUCCCUCUCAGAACAGCACUCGUAAAUCUGAAAUUCACUCUUUGAGAUGAAGCAAUUUCAAUAUUUGACCUGACGAAGAAAACCCCAAAGGGCGGGAAAGUGAUCACGUUGUUGAGAGUCCUUUUCUCAACAUCUAUCACCUGCAAAACGUCGCCCGCUUUGGUACCAAAUAACGGCGCCUUCUCUAUGAUGAAGAGCUGCUCUUUCUCUGUCGUCCAGAGCAAACGCCACGUGGCGGAUAGUGAAUUACCUGUGGUGACCGUACCUUUGCCCUUUUCAGCCAUGGCAUCGAUGGCUUGGAUAAUUGAGGCUCGCUUUUCAGGGUCAUUCUGGGUUUUGAGGCCUCGGUCUUGAUCGGAGAUGAGGCUGAGGAGAUGUUCUUUAGCUGAUUGGGAUUGGGUUGUGGCGGACGAGCAGGUGACUUUAGGACUGUGGAAGGAGGUGGGUUUGGGGGAAUUCUUCGGUUUCAAGUGAAUUGGUAGAAGAAAGCACGUCGCCAUGGGCUUGUGGGUAACGGCAGAAGGGAUAAU
This 646-nucleotide unclassified non-coding RNA is filed under the name Hevea brasiliensis (rubber tree). Lineage: Eukaryota; Viridiplantae; Streptophyta; Magnoliopsida; Malpighiales; Euphorbiaceae. The record is from RNAcentral.